GCAGUCAAGGAGAACGGGAAAGCUUGCUUUUCUCAAUUAAACUGGCGAACGGGUGCGUAACACGUGAGCAACUUGCUCUCAAGUGGGGGAUAACAUUCCUAACGGGAUGCUAAUACCGCAUAUGUUUUUUAGAUCGCAUGAUCUUUUAAGCAAAGAUGGCUUCGGCUAUCGCUUGGGAAUGGGCUCGCGGCCCAUUAGCUUGACGGUGGGGUAACGGCCUACCGUAUUGGCUCUGAUGGGUAGCUGGUCUGAGAGGAUGAUCAGCCACACUGGGACUGAGAUACGGCCCAGACUCCUACGGGAGGCAGCAGUGAGGAAUAUUGCGCAAUGGGCGAAAGCCUGACGCAGCAACGCCGCGUGGGGGAUGAAGGCCUUCGGGUCGUAAGCCCCUGUUUGCAGGGAAGAACAGCACAGGUUCUAACAGGCCCUGUGUUUGACGGUACCUGUAGAGGAAGCUCCGGCUAAUUCCGUGCCAGCAGCCGCGGUAAUACGGAAGGAGCAAGCGUUGUUCGGAAUUACUGGGCGUAAAGGGCGUGUAGGCGGUAUGGUAAGUCGCGGGUGAAAUCUUUAAGCUUAACUUGGAGACUGCCCGCGAUACUGCCAAACUAGAGCACAAAAGAGGAGAGCGGAAUUCCCGGUGUAACGGUGGAAUGUGUAGAUAUCGGGAAGAACACCAGUGGCGAAGGCGGCUCUCUGGUUUGAUGCUGACGCUGAGGCGCGAAAGCGUGGGGAGCAAACAGGACUAGAUACCCUGGUAGUCCACGCUGUAAACGAUGGGUACUAGGUGUUGG
This 791-nucleotide ribosomal RNA is filed under the name uncultured bacterium. RNAcentral describes it as "bacterial SSU rRNA". It matches the Rfam family "Bacterial small subunit ribosomal RNA", at positions 53 to 826 of the family's 1533-position model. The record is from RNAcentral.